ACAGAUGCUUAACACAUGCAAGUCAUUGGCGAAGCUGCGCUUGCGCAGUCUAGCCAAGGCGGACGGGUGAGUAACGCGUAAGGAACUUGCCCUGCAGACAGGGAUAACAGACGGAAACGACUGAUAACACCUGGUAUUGUCAGGCUGGCGCAUGCCGGCCUGAUGAAAGGAGACGCUGCAGGAGAGCCUUGCGUCCUAUUAGCUAGUUGGUGGGGUAACGGCCCACCAAGGCGAUGAUAGGUAGCCGGCCUGAGAGGGUGAACGGCCACAGGGGGACUGAGAUACGGCCCUUACUCCUACGGGAGGCAGCAGUGGGGAAUAUUGGACAAUGGGGGCAACCCUGAUCCAGCAAUUCUGUGUGCACGAAGAAGGUUUUCGGAUUGUAAAGUGCUUUCAGCAGGGAAGAAGAAAGUGACGGUACCUGCAGAAGAAGCGACGGCUAAAUACGUGCCAGCAGCCGCGGUAAUACGUAUGUCGCAAGCGUUAUCCGGAAUUAUUGGGCAUAAAGGGCAUCUAGGCGGCCCUGUAAGUCUAGGGUGAAAACCUGCGGCUCAACCGCAGGCCUGCCCCGGAAACUACAGGGCUAGAGUAUCGGAGAGGUGGACGGAACUGCACGAGUAGAGGUGAAAUUCGUAGAUAUGUGCGGGAAUGCCGAUGAUGAAGAUAGUUCACUGGACGGUAACUGACGCUGAAGUGCGAAAGCUAGGGGAGCAAACAGGAUUAGAUACCCUGGUAGUCCUAGCUGUAAACGAUGAUUACUGGGUGUGGGCAUGAAGAGUGUCCGUGCCGA
This 790-nucleotide ribosomal RNA is filed under the name uncultured Leptotrichia sp. RNAcentral's name for it is "bacterial SSU rRNA". It matches the Rfam family "Bacterial small subunit ribosomal RNA", at positions 39 to 849 of the family's 1533-position model. Lineage: Bacteria; Fusobacteriati; Fusobacteriota; Fusobacteriia; Fusobacteriales; Leptotrichiaceae. The record is from RNAcentral.